Molecule: ribosomal RNA, 465 nt
Filed under: uncultured Klebsiella sp.
Lineage: Bacteria; Pseudomonadati; Pseudomonadota; Gammaproteobacteria; Enterobacterales; Enterobacteriaceae
Description: bacterial SSU rRNA
Rfam family: Bacterial small subunit ribosomal RNA
Source: RNAcentral
CCUACGGGCGGCUGCAGUGGGGAAUAUUGCGCAAUGGGCGCAAGCCUGAUGCAGCCAUGCCGCGUGUGUGAAGAAGGCCUUCGGGUUGUAAAGCACUUUCAGCGGGGAGGAAGGCGGUGAGGUUAAUAACCUCAUCGAUUGACGUUACCCGCAGAAGAAGCACCGGCUAACUCCGUGCCAGCAGCCGCGGUAAUACGGAGGGUGCAAGCGUUAAUCGGAAUUACUGGGCGUAAAGCGCACGCAGGCGGUCUGUCAAGUCGGAUGUGAAAUCCCCGGGCUCAACCUGCGAACUGCAUUCGAAACUGGCAGGCUAGAGUCUUGUAGAGGGGGGUAGAAUUCCAGGUGUAGCGGUGAAAUGCGUAGAGAUCUGGAGGAAUACCGGUGGCGAAGGCGGCCCCCUGGACAAAGACUGACGCUCAGGUGCGAAAGCGUGGGGAGCAAACAGGAUUAGAUACCCUAGUAGUC